AUUGUCUGAUUUCAAGGACCAAUCGAUAUCAGAUUGAGUCGAAAACUUGGGGAACAUCAUAAUAUUGUGGGAGGAGUCAUUUGGUGGGUUUUGAGUGAAAUCCAAUCUUUAGAACUAUACAAUACACCAACCACCCCAUUUCAGAACGAACUUCGUAGGAACCUGAAUUGUCCGAUUUCAAGGACCAAUCGAUAUCGGAUUGAGUCCAAAACUUGGGGAACAUCGUAAUAUUGUGGGAGGAAUCAUUUGGUGGGUUUUGAGUGAAAUCCAAUCUGUAGAACUAUACAAUACACCAACCACCCCAUUUCAGAAAGAACUUCGUACGAACGUGAAUUGUCCGAUUUCAAGGACCAAUCGAUAUCGGAUUGAGUCCAAAACUUAGGGAACAUCAUAAUGUUGUGGGAGGAGUCAUUUGGUGGGUUUUGAGUGAAAUCCAAUCUCUAGAACUGUACAAUACCCCAACCACUCCAUUUCAGAACGAACUUCGUAGGAACCUGAAUUGUCCGAUUUCAAGGACCAAUCGAUAUCGGAUUGAGUCCAAAACUUGGGGAACAUCAUAAUAUUGUGGGAGGAGUCAUUUGGUCGGUUUUGAGUGAAAUCCAAUCUUUAGAACUAUACAAUACACCAACCACCCCAUUUCAGAACGAACUUCGUAGGAUCCUGAAUUGUCCGAUUUCAAGGACUAGUCGAUAUCGGAUUGAGUCCAAAACUUGGGGAACAUCAUAAUAUUGUGGGAGGAGUCAUUUGGUGGGUUUUGAGUGAAAUCCAAUCUCUAGAACUAUACAAUACCCCAACCACCCCAUUUCAGAACGAACUUCGUACGAACCAGAAUUGUCCGAUUUCAAGGACCAAUCGAUAUCGGAUUGAGUCCAAAACUUGGGGAACAUCACAUUGUGGGACUCAUUUGGUAAGUUUUGAGUGAAAUGCAAUCCCCAGAACUAUACAAUACACCAACCACUCCCUUUCAGAAUGAAUUCUUACGAACCUGAAUUGUCCGAUUUCAAGGACCAUUCGAUAUCGGAUUGAGUCCAAAACUUGGGGAACAUCGUAAUAUUGUGGGAGGAGUCAUUUGGUGGGUUUUGAGUGAAAUCCAAUCUCCAGAACUAUACAAUACACCAACCACCCCAUUUCAGAAUGAACUUCGUACGAACCAGAAUUGUCCAAUUUCAAGAGCCAAUCGAUAUCGGAUUGAGUCCAAAACUUGGGGAACAUCGUAAUAUUGUGGGAGGAGUCAUUUGGUGGGUUUUGAGUGAAAUCCAAUCUCUAGAACUAUACAAUACACCAACCACCCCAUUUCAGAACGAACUUCGUACGUACCAGAAUUGUCCGAUUUCAAGGACCAAUCGAUAUCGGAUUGAGUCCAAAACUUGGGGAACAUCAUAAUGUUGUGGGAG
RNAcentral lists this long non-coding RNA (1394 nucleotides) under Prunus persica (peach). RNAcentral describes it as "long non-coding RNA (PPER_LNC002260)". Lineage: Eukaryota; Viridiplantae; Streptophyta; Magnoliopsida; Rosales; Rosaceae. The record is from RNAcentral.